This 102-nucleotide small nucleolar RNA is filed under the name Marmota monax (woodchuck). It matches the Rfam family "Small nucleolar RNA U13". The record is from RNAcentral. Lineage: Eukaryota; Metazoa; Chordata; Mammalia; Rodentia; Sciuridae.
UCCUUUUUGGUUCAUAAGCAUGAUGAUUGGGUGUUCACGCUGCCAUGUGAGAUGUGCCUCCCUCUGAACCUUGCUACAAUGUCAGCACCUUACCUUUCUGAC